CCGAAUUGCAAUGUCUGCCCGCUGUGCUAACAAGUCCAGGAAUCGGCGGCCCACCUCCUUUUCCAAUGUCAGCACACCAUUCGAGUUUGGGGCAUGAUCAAAGCCUGGCUUGCACUUCAUGAUGUACAGCCCGACGAGUGGGUUGUUCUGGACUCAGUUAAAAAUUGGUGGAGUAGGAAUGCCACAAAGCAAACUCCGUCGAGAAGGCCUCUUGUCUCAUUGAUGAUGCUCAUCUCAUGGGAAAUAUGGAAGGAACGUAAUGCUAGAGUUUUCCGCAACACUACAAUUCCGGUGGGAGUGUUGGUCGCUAAUAUCAAAGAGGAGUGCUCACUUUGGAGCUUUGCGGGAGCAAAAUAUUUGAGUAACAUUAUGCCGCGAGAGUAA
This 384-nucleotide ribosomal RNA is filed under the name Triticum aestivum (bread wheat). RNAcentral describes it as "partial small subunit ribosomal RNA". The record is from RNAcentral. Lineage: Eukaryota; Viridiplantae; Streptophyta; Magnoliopsida; Poales; Poaceae.